RNAcentral lists this long non-coding RNA (227 nucleotides) under Trifolium pratense (red clover). RNAcentral describes it as "long non-coding RNA (TPRA_LNC013095)". Lineage: Eukaryota; Viridiplantae; Streptophyta; Magnoliopsida; Fabales; Fabaceae. The record is from RNAcentral.
AAAAGGCGAUGAAGAAGGAAGUAGUUUGGAGAGGAACAUUACCAUAUCGAUAUUUUUUCUGCAUUAGAUUUCAGAUUUUAGAGUUUAUCUACUUUGACUUCAAUGCAUAAUACAUGUUUUCUAACACACAAAGAGCGUGUAUUCAAGCAUAUACAUGUGAGGAUCUUGAAAUUGAUAGCUACAAUAUACGUAUGUGCUUUUUCAUAGAAGAAGAGGUGAUGAAGAAG